This 1943-nucleotide long non-coding RNA is filed under the name Equus asinus (donkey). RNAcentral describes it as "lncRNA (ENSEASG00005038435.1)". Lineage: Eukaryota; Metazoa; Chordata; Mammalia; Perissodactyla; Equidae. The record is from RNAcentral.
GUUUCCCACCAACCACUGCCUGAAAAUGAGCAUCCACCUCCCCCAGAGCAAUGACCCCUCCACCAGAAUAUGCCACCCCAAAAAGGGUCCUACUCAGUCCCAGUGAUAGUACAGCUCAGCUACUCCUCCCUCUGCUCACCCACAAAGCCAAUUCUAGAUGUGCCCAGUGCUGACAGGGAGCACGACCCAGGGGGAAUGCCUAGGUUCCCUCCCACCAUUCAGACAGCUAAUCUCAACUACUUAUCUCUCAUCCAGAGUCUACAUUCUAGACUAGAAAGGCCUAAGUGUUGGGCUUGGGGGACGGCCUUGCACAGAUUAAAUGCAAGAUACACAUUCUUCCUUUCAACUGGCCCCCUGGUGCUGGCAGGAACCCUGGAUGGAGGAAGGCUGGUGACUGGGUACAGAGAACCCUAUUGGGAGUUCUGGCUCCCCACCGUCCACCAUUACUCCUGCAGGCUCUAAGACCAGCACCCACCUUCUCUGGGCCUUUAUUUUUGCUUCCCUCUCAGUAAGAGGGAGGGAGGGUGAGGACUGAGGGAGGGAGGGUUAGCUGCUUUCUAGUCCUCCACUUAAAGGAUUUCUUAAAAUGCACGAGUCUGGCAGAGGUAAGCCACAAAGUCACUAACACUUUAGCAAGAAUGAGUUGUCUUGGGAGGCGAACAAUUUAGAAAAGGUGGAGGUGGUGGAAAGCAAAGUUAAGUGAGCAUGGUACUUGGAAAGUAACUCAGAGAUGACCCUACAUUUUUGAAUUCUGUGUUGAAGGCUGGAAGGCGUGGAUCCCUGGGAAGAGAUGGGAAGCCAGAGAUCUUUCAGUCCCCCUAGCACCCCGGAGUCCCAAAGACACUGCUCUGUCCCAGUACUUAAGCACAAUUCUACUGACUAUCUCAUCCAACAUACCCCAGACCCGCAACAUCAUGUCCCCAACACAGUAACAUUUACACUGUCAUCUCCACUCUCCGCAUUUUAUUUAGUCUUCUCUGGCCUGCAGUUCCCGCGUGCAAAUGGCCUUCCUCCAUGUCGUCGUCCGGCUUCAGAAAAUUCCCCAUCCUUCAAAAGCCCUGAUGAAGCGGCCCCCAAAAGGGCCAGCUCAGAUCCCACCCCAGGGACCAGGAAAUCAGACUCCUCUCCCUGAGCCCCUUAAAACUUUAUCCACACCUUUUCCCCAGCACUUGGCAUAUCCUAUCUUGGAUCAGGUUUGGCUCCUUUGGCUCCUCGGUUGACUGAGCGCUCCCUGAGAGCAGGAACUGGGCCUCCUCCGCCUCUCUAACCCAACAACCCAGCAGGGCGCCUGGCACACAGUGGGUGCUCGAGAAAUGCUGGAAGAAGGGGAACGCGGAGUCGGGAGCCAUCUAUCUCAAUUACGGCUCGGCCUCUGCUUCUUUGCCCAUCUAAGAACACAACUCUAGAGAACUGGGCCAUCAGACACUUUUCUUCGGCGGGAAAAAAAUUCCCAAACCAGAAGAUCCAACUCUCCCACAUCUUAAUUGCCCUCGGAAGUGACUCUCUAGGGGAAUAACACUGGAUUAAAAGGCAGUUCAAGGGGCCGGCCCCGUGGCCGAGAGAUUAAGUUCACGCACUCCGCUUCGGCAGCCCAGAGUUUCGCUGGUUCGGAUCCUGGGUGUGGACAUGGCACCGCUCACCAAGCCAUGCUGAGGGGGCACCCUGCAUGCCACAUCUAGAAGGACCCACAACUAAAAAUACACAACUAUGUACUGGGGGAUUUUGGGAGAAAAAUGAAAAAUAAAAUAAAAUAAAAUAAAGACAGUUCAAGGCAUGCCAAGAGGAAUUGUGAUUAUCUGCUCUAGGAGCAUUGUCCACACCAUGAAUUAUUAUGCACCCUGGACCUGUCUCUUUCGAGUCACUGACAAGUGGAGGAGACACCUAGUUUAAAACUCUAGCUUAGCCUCUGACCAGUGAAAACAUGUAGACCAUGUCAAAUUAGC